This 424-nucleotide ribosomal RNA is filed under the name uncultured bacterium. RNAcentral's name for it is "partial 16S ribosomal RNA". It matches the Rfam family "Bacterial small subunit ribosomal RNA", at positions 354 to 796 of the family's 1533-position model. The record is from RNAcentral.
GUGGGGAAUAUUGGGCAAUGGGGGAAACCCUGACCCAGCAACGCCGCGUGAAGGAAGAAGGCUUUCGGGUUGUAAACUUCUUUUAUGAGGGAAGAUAAUGACGGUACCUCAUGAAUAAGCCACGGCUAACUACGUGCCAGCAGCCGCGGUAAUACGUAGGUGGCAAGCGUUGUCCGGAAUUAUUGGGUGUAAAGGGAGCGUAGGCGGAUUCGUAAGUUGAAUGUGAAACCAAUCGGCUCAACCGGUUGUUGCGUUCAAAACUGCGGAUCUUGAGUGAAGUAGAGGCAGGCGGAAUUCCUAGUGUAGCGGUGAAAUGCGUAGAUAUGGGGAGGAACACCAGUGGCGAAGGCGGCUUUCUGGACGGUGUCUGACACUGAGGCGCGAAAGCUAGGGGAGCGAACGGGAUUAGAUACCCUGGUAGUCC